Molecule: long non-coding RNA, 881 nt
Organism: Amblyraja radiata (thorny skate)
Lineage: Eukaryota; Metazoa; Chordata; Chondrichthyes; Rajiformes; Rajidae
Exons: 2
Source: RefSeq, a predicted model, not a curated record
ACCGAUGUGAGAGAAAAACGUAAAUCAACAUUUGGUGUCAGAAGUGGGAUGUCAACCAGCGACUGAUCGAGCCGGCGAGUGAAUCCACUGGGCGACGGGAUCGAUGUGAAGGGUGUGCAGCCAAGUGUGUAGAUUUAGUUAAAUCUCCUCUUGGUCCUUCCUCGUAUCCCGGCGUAGCAGGGUAAUUCGCUGACUUGCGUCAGUUGGUGGGACGACAUCCGAACGUUCCGGUUGUGGGCACUGGGAUAGGGCCGUCUCGAGGAUUAUCCUAGUCUGAUCGAGCGGAUAAAACACCCCGUAGAGGGGGACCGUAGACGGUAUAUAAGAGGAAUGCACUGUGUAUAGGAAGUUAACUAGUAUUGAGACAUUAACUGAGACCAAGGUACCCCCAUAUCUCACAGAAAGUCCACUUCAAAGUGACUGAGUGAGAUACGGUGGAACCAAGGACUCUAGGUUAACCCUGAAAGAGUUAACAAGUAUUGAGUGUUAACCGAGACCAAGGUACCUCCGUAUCUCACAGAAAGUCCGCCUUAGACUGGUUGUUAAGAGAGGAAAUCCUCCACGCGAAGGUCAGGAAUUGAAGUGACCGAGUGAGAUACGGCGGAACCAAGGACUCGCGGUUAACCCUGAAAUAUUGUGUGUAAUAGUAUAAGUUUAAAAAUGGGUAAUGGUAUGGACACCAGUGGUCACCCAGACCGGCCAUUACAUCAGCUAUGUUUCUUGCAUCCAGAAAUGGAGGAGACCUUUAGGCGUAUGUCGGGAGGACUCAUUCAUAAACAGGGGAAGGAUGAAUGGCCUGAAGGGGGUUCCAAGGAUAUGGAUGUGUUAUCAAGGGCCCAAAGUGUAAUAUGGAAAACGGAUUUUAAAAAAAUAUAUAAAAA